This 253-nucleotide ribosomal RNA is filed under the name uncultured bacterium. RNAcentral's name for it is "partial 16S ribosomal RNA". It matches the Rfam family "Bacterial small subunit ribosomal RNA", at positions 524 to 776 of the family's 1533-position model. The record is from RNAcentral.
UACGUAGGGUGCGAGCGUUAAUCGGAAUUACUGGGCGUAAAGCGUGCGCAGGCGGCUUCGCAAGUCAGACGUGAAAUCCCCGGGCUUAACCUGGGAAUGGCGUUUGAAACUACGGAGCUGGAGUGUGGCAGAGGGAGGUAGAAUUCCACGUGUAGCGGUGAAAUGCGUAGAUAUGUGGAGGAAUACCGAUGGCGAAGGCAGCCCCCUGGGAUAACACUGACGCUCAUGCACGAAAGCGUGGGGAGCAAACAGG